AUACUUACCUGGCAGGGGAAACACCAUGAUCAGGAAGGUGGUUUUCCCAGGGCGAGGUUCACCCAUUGCACUGCGGGUGUGCUGACCUCUGCGAUUUCCCCAAAUGUGGGAAACUCGACUGCGUAAUUUGUGGUAGUGGGGGACUGCGUUCGCGCUCUCCUCUG
Molecule: small nuclear RNA, 164 nt
Filed under: Sus scrofa (pig)
Lineage: Eukaryota; Metazoa; Chordata; Mammalia; Artiodactyla; Suidae
Description: U1 spliceosomal RNA (ENSSSCG00000031240.1)
Rfam family: U1 spliceosomal RNA
About the family: U1 is a small nuclear RNA (snRNA) component of the spliceosome (involved in pre-mRNA splicing).
Source: Rfam by way of RNAcentral